Molecule: long non-coding RNA, 839 nt
Organism: Tachysurus vachellii
Lineage: Eukaryota; Metazoa; Chordata; Actinopteri; Siluriformes; Bagridae
Exons: 3
Source: RefSeq, a predicted model, not a curated record
CGGCACAAUGAUGAGUUGAUUCGCAGUGAAUCUUUGGAAAUUCCCUUUUUUCACAGGGGAUAAACAAUAUGAAGUGUAAAAUUGGAAUCGUGUGACGUCGCUGUUGUAAACAGGUUAAAAAUCAGGGAAUUUUAUUUCCACGUUUAUGCUGAAAGAUGUAAGAGUUUGUGGACGUUUCCAGCCACAUGGUGUCACUGUUUUAUAGAAAACAGACCAAAGAAAUUUCCUAAAGGGGAAACUACAUCUUACAAAACAUCAUGAAGUCAUCCAGAUCUGCUGAAUCAUGUGACUUCUGGAAAGACGAAUCAUACAUGCAAUCAUAAUGGGGUCAGAAAACAUGCAAACAAAAUUGUAGACCUUUUUUUAUAGAUUUUUUUUGAAGGGAUGUCUAGAAACAAAGAUUGAGUUAUUUGGUCAUUACAAGGGGUGUUAUGCAUGGCAGCAAAAGAACACAAAACACUUGCUACCCACAGUAAAAUUUGGGCUUUGUGGCCAGUGCCGGUACUGAGAAUCUGGUUAAAGUUGAGGGUCGCAUGGAUUCCACUCAAUAUCAGCAAAUUCUUGAGAAUAAUGUUGAGGAAUCAGUCACAAAGUAGAAGUUACGCCCGGGCUGGUUAUUUCAACAAGACAACGACCCAAAACACUGCUCAAAAUCUACUCGGGCAUUUAUGCAGAGGAACAAGUACAAUGUUCUGGAAUGGCUCCCAGUCCCCAGCCCUGAAUAUCAUUGAACAUCUGUGGGGUGAUUUGAAGCAGGCUGUCCAGCUCGGCAACCAUCAAACCUAACUGAGCUGGAGAUGUUUUGCAAGGAGGAAUGGUCCAAAAUACAUUCAUCCAGA